GAGAGCGGCGGACGGGUGAGUAAUGCCUAGGAAUCUGCCUGGUAGUGGGGGAUAACGCUCGGAAACGGACGCUAAUACCGCAUACGUCCUACGGGAGAAAGCAGGGGACCUUCGGGCCUUGCGCUAUCAGAUGAGCCUAGGUCGGAUUAGCUAGUUGGUGAGGUAAUGGCUCACCAAGGCGACGAUCCGUAACUGGUCUGAGAGGAUGAUCAGUCACACUGGAACUGAGACACGGUCCAGACUCCUACGGGAGGCAGCAGUGGGGAAUAUUGGACAAUGGGCGAAAGCCUGAUCCAGCCAUGCCGCGUGUGUGAAGAAGGUCUUCGGAUUGUAAAGCACUUUAAGUUGGGAGGAAGGGCAUUAACCUAAUACGUUAGUGUUUUGACGUUACCGACAGAAUAAGCACCGGCUAACUCUGUGCCAGCAGCCGCGGUAAUACAGAGGGUGCAAGCGUUAAUCGGAAUUACUGGGCGUAAAGCGCGCGUAGGUGGUUCGUUAAGUUGGAUGUGAAAUCCCCGGGCUCAACCUGGGAACUGCAUUCAAAACUGUCGAGCUAGAGUAUGGUAGAGGGUGGUGGAAUUUCCUGUGUAGCGGUGAAAUGCGUAGAUAUAGGAAGGAACACCAGUGGCGAAGGCGACCACCUGGACUGAUACUGACACUGAGGUGCG
Molecule: ribosomal RNA, 668 nt
Filed under: Pseudomonas sp.
Lineage: Bacteria; Pseudomonadati; Pseudomonadota; Gammaproteobacteria; Pseudomonadales; Pseudomonadaceae
Description: bacterial SSU rRNA
Rfam family: Bacterial small subunit ribosomal RNA
Source: RNAcentral